Molecule: ribosomal RNA, 497 nt
Filed under: uncultured bacterium
Lineage: Bacteria
Description: partial 16S ribosomal RNA
Rfam family: Bacterial small subunit ribosomal RNA
Source: RNAcentral
GAUGAACGCUGGCGGCGUGCCUAAUACAUGCAAGUCGAGCGAACGGACGAGAAGCUUGCUUCUCUGAUGUUAGCGGCGGACGGGUGAGUAACACGUGGAUAACCUACCUAUAAGACUGGGAUAACUUCGGGAAACCGGAGCUAAUACCGGAUAAUAUUUUGAACCGCAUGGUUCAAAAGUGAAAGACGGUCUUGCUGUCACUUAUAGAUGGAUCCGCGCUGCAUUAGCUAGUUGGUAAGGUAACGGCUUACCAAGGCAACGAUGCAUAGCCGACCUGAGAGGGCGAUCGGCCACACUGGAACUGAGACACGGUCCAGACUCCUACGGGAGGCAGCAGUAGGGAAUCUUCCGCAAUGGGCGAAAGCCUGACGGAGCAACGCCGCGUGAGUGAUGAAGGUCUUCGGAACGUAAAACUCUGUUAUUAGGGAAGAACAUAUGUGUAAGUAACUGUGCACAUCUUGACGGUACCUAAUCAGAAAGCCACGGCUAACUACGUG